Molecule: long non-coding RNA, 205 nt
Organism: Salvelinus fontinalis (brook trout)
Lineage: Eukaryota; Metazoa; Chordata; Actinopteri; Salmoniformes; Salmonidae
Exons: 3
Source: RefSeq, a predicted model, not a curated record
UGAUUAAGUGGAUUGCAGAUGGACUGAGUAAGGUGGUACCCCAGCCAGAUGAAAAGUACAGAGAGGAUAUUCGAGAGGAGGAGGAUGAAACAGAGGUUUAUAACAUGAAAGAUGUGCCUGACGCAGAGCCCCUCCCACAUAUACCUGUGGUGGAGAUGUUUUCAGAAAAUGAGGAAGAGGAUCAGAUACCACAGUUCCCCCCCAA